AUAACAUUCGGACCAUCGGUCUACCGGGCAAUAUCACCCGUUUGAUGGAAGAUCUCUCUUUCGCUUU
This 67-nucleotide microRNA precursor is filed under the name Bombyx mori (domestic silkworm). Its description in RNAcentral is "mir-2774 microRNA precursor family". It matches the Rfam family "mir-2774 microRNA precursor family". Lineage: Eukaryota; Metazoa; Arthropoda; Insecta; Lepidoptera; Bombycidae. The record is from Rfam by way of RNAcentral.